This 443-nucleotide ribosomal RNA is filed under the name uncultured bacterium. RNAcentral's name for it is "SSU rRNA". It matches the Rfam family "Bacterial small subunit ribosomal RNA", at positions 26 to 518 of the family's 1533-position model. The record is from RNAcentral.
AGAGCGAACGCUGGCGGCAGGCCUAACACAUGCAAGUCGAGCGCCCCGCAAGGGGAGCGGCAGACGGGAGAGUAACACGUGGGAACGUACCCUUUGGUUCGGAACAACACAGGGAAACUUGUGCUAAUACCGGAUAAGCCCUUACGGGGAAAGAUUUAUCGCCAAAGGAUCGGCCCGCGUCUGAUUAGCUUGUUGGUGAGGUAACGGCUCACCAAGGCGACGAUCGGUAGCUGGUCUGAGAGGAUGACCAGCAUCACUGGGACUGAGACACGGCCCAGACUCCUACGGGAGGCAGCAGUGGGGAAUAUUGGACAAUGGGCGCAAGCCUGAUCCAGCCAUGCCGCGUGGAUGAUGAAGGCCUUAGGGUUGUAAAGUCCUUUUAACGGGGAAGAUAAUGACGGUACCGUAGAAUAAGCCCCGGCUAACUUCGUGCCAGCAGCCGC